This is a long non-coding RNA of Suricata suricatta (meerkat), 457 nucleotides long. RefSeq lists it as uncharacterized. The transcript is spliced from 2 exons. Lineage: Eukaryota; Metazoa; Chordata; Mammalia; Carnivora; Herpestidae. The record is from RefSeq and is a predicted model, not a curated record.
UUCUGAUGGCAGGAGCUGCAGGUACACAGGGGAUGGAGAUCUACUGAUUUACCUUCUCAAAGUAUUCUCUGGAAGCAGUUGGAUGUGGCUUGAUCUGAAAGUACGAAAACAUUUAAUCAGGUAACGUGAUGUCUGGGGCCAACGAGAAUGACAGCAGGGAUCGGCAACUGAGCACCGACAGCAGGCCGGGGGCUGCUCUAAGCUCUGUUAACUCACUGCCUCCUCCCAACCAUCCUGGAGGUCCCACGGUCAUCACCUUUUUACAGGAGAGGGAACUGGAGGCACACAAGGAUUAGGGAGCUUGUUCCAAGUCACAGCUAGAAAGGGAUGGAGGCACGACUGAUACCCAGCUAAUACUGUAAACCCUUCUUUUCCUAAUUCUUGAAGUAUUCUCUUACUUGAAGAUUAAUUUCUGUAGCAUAAAAAUGGAAGAGUAAUAAAAAGACUUUUUGAAUAA